AAAGUAUUGUUCAUUCCGCUGACCGGCGCCGUUCGCCGGGUGAACAUCGUCGGCGUUCGAAGCUUUGAUUGCAACAACCACUCAAAAAGAGCGUUUUCACUGUUCCGCAAUUGUUUGAUCGUUCAUUUAGGAACUCUUUAGUUGUUGUUUGUUUGUCAUGGAGGAACUUAGUGAAUAGAGUAAAACUUCUAUACGAGGAAGAAUGUAUGUAGGGUUUUGUUUAUUUUGAUGUGCUAUUGUAGAUAUUUUUACUUUGAUGGACUUGUCUGAAUGUAUUAACACUGAUAUCUCCUGUUUUUCACUUAUGGGUCUUUCAGUGCUGAAUAAAGGAUUUUAUGGAAAAAAUAUUUUCUUGGUAUGAACAAGCUUUUUGCAUAGGUUUUGUUCUUUCAAUUUACUGGGUUGCUGAUCAUCUUCUUCCAGUCUCUUCUAGGAAGUUAGUUUCAUUAUUAUCCAAUUGAUCAAUAUAACUUAUAAGUAUGGCUAUAAAAGUGUUUGACUAUGUUUAUUUAGUUUUUUCUGCGCUCGUUCUCUGGUUUUAUAUCUUUCUCUAGAAAUUCAAAUGUUAAAUUUUUUAUAUUGAUUAAAUAUUACUCAGCAUAGCUUAUGUUUCCAUCUUCAUGUUAAUGUAUAUUAUUUCAUGGACAGGAUUCACACGAUCCUACUGAACUUGUUCCCAAGAAUGCAUUUAAAUGGAUUUUAAUGUUAAGAAGAGAAAGUACAAGGUGCUGCCCCAUUUGUAGAUAUAAGUGAUAUAGCUGCUCUUAUAAUGAGACUUGGUACUUAAUAUCUGUUUAUUCCCUUCUCUUAUAUUUGUCUCCCAUCACUUUAUUAUUAACUUGGAGAGUUUGAAACAGCAAUGCCACCUUAGUGACUGAGUUUUUCUUCAUUGAUGCAAUUUUCCAGCAAACACCAUGUGCUUUUGAUUGGAACUCCUCUCUAGGUAUAUUUAAAUUCAUGCCAUUGUGCCUACGAUGAUUUACUUAUGAUGUCUUGAACUGUUUUAACAACAUGGGUUCAUUUGAAAUUGUCUGGUUUGUUUUUCGUCUUCUUACUGGGGUUUUGUUUAAUGUCUAGAAAGCAUGUGAGUCUUGUGAUUAGAGUGAAGAAUUUUAUUUUCUUAAAGUCAUUCAUGUCUUAGUGGAUGGAAUACACACAUAAUUAUUAUAAAGAUAUUAAAAUAUUUUUGUUUCUAAUAAUGUUUUAUUUACAACUUUAAAUUAUUAACCAGUUUCAUUGAUGUGAUUUUUUAGCCUUUGGGUAUAAGGAAGAUAAGGUGCAUCAUGUUAACUUUUAAAGAAGACUUCUUAGGUAUAGAAAAAUGACUUACGAAGACUCAGUUAUAACACUAUACAUUUUCCUCCCCCUCCCUUCUUUAAAAUAGUAAGCAAAUGUGUAUAAAAUGUAAUGUAGAGUGUCUUAUAACCUCACAUCUCUUAAAGACUAUUGCACCAUAUGCACAAAAAUCAAAAUUUGUACUAGUUUUUUAAGACACCGUAGGAUGUUAUGAAUAAUGUAUGCAUUGGUCUGAUCAAUAUUUGUAUGUGCAGGAUUAUGACACAAUAGUAGGGGAAGGAAAGAUUGAAUUAUCUGAAGGGCAGAAACAAUGGGUGACAAUUGCACGAGAAUAGUCAAGAAUACCAAAAAUAUUACUAUUAGAUGAGGCCACUAGUGCAUUUGAUGCAUAUGAAAAAGUGGUUCAAGAUGCACUAGAGCGUGUUAUGGUGAAUUGAACCAUAAUAGUAGUGGCUCACAGGCUAACCACUACAAAGGAUGUUGGUUUAAUUGUGUAGUAAAAAGUUGUGUGAUAGCAUAGAAGGGAACACAUGAAGCAUUAGUGAGAAAGGAAGGUAAUUAUGCUUCCUUAGUAGCAUUGCACAUAAGUGCUUCUACAUUCUAGUUUACUUUCACCUCCUUUUGAUUUUAUCCAAGAAAUACCGCUCUAAAAUAUUUCCAUAUCAAUAAUUU
Molecule: long non-coding RNA, 1968 nt
Organism: Vigna angularis (adzuki bean)
Lineage: Eukaryota; Viridiplantae; Streptophyta; Magnoliopsida; Fabales; Fabaceae
Exons: 3
Source: RefSeq, a predicted model, not a curated record